ACGGAGGGUGCAAGCGUUAAUCGGAUUUACUGGGCGUAAAGGGUGCGCAGGCGGGUAUUUAAGUCAAUUGUGAAAUCCCCGGGCUCAACCUGGGAAUUGCAGUCGUGACUGAAUAUCUUGAGUAUGGUAGAGGAAAGUGGAAUUCUCGGUGUAGUGGUGAAAUGCGUAGAUAUCGGGAGGAACACCGGUGGCGAAGGCGGCUUUCUGGACCAGUACUGACGCUGAUGCGCGAAAGCGUGGGGAGCAAACAG
RNAcentral lists this ribosomal RNA (251 nucleotides) under uncultured prokaryote. Its description in RNAcentral is "partial 16S rRNA". It matches the Rfam family "Bacterial small subunit ribosomal RNA", at positions 525 to 775 of the family's 1533-position model. The record is from RNAcentral.